This 3608-nucleotide long non-coding RNA is filed under the name Gallus gallus (chicken). RNAcentral describes it as "lncRNA (ENSGALG00010006610.1)". The record is from RNAcentral. Lineage: Eukaryota; Metazoa; Chordata; Aves; Galliformes; Phasianidae.
CCACUCCCCCUGCCAAAGCAGGCUCCCUGGACCAGGUUGCACAGCUCUUGGAACCUGAACUGCACAGAAUGUAGCACUCUCCAAGUCAAGACCCUCGUGCAUGAUGACAUCCGAAGACAGCCAUACUGUCCACAGACAGCUGCACUUGCACCCCAGCACACAGCGGCUGUAAAGCCAGCAAGACUCCUGCAGCACAAAGGCUGAGCAAAGCAAAGACAGACAGAUCUGCUAAUCGGAGCAGCGCUACUUUCAUUUACUGACGCCUCGUGCGUACAGAAGGUGGAAUUGAUUUAAUUGCAAAUGAAAGUCAAGAAAUAAAUUAAUGGAACGGUACUAAAUUUUGCAACAAAAAUAUGUUAUGUGUGAGAUAUCCUUUUGUGUCCGUCGUCUUACAGAGAGCGAGACAAAGGAAACAGGGCAGGGGAAAAAAGGCUGUGCUGAAAGCACAUGCAGAAAUCAAACACAGGAAAACUGUUGGGGACUUAAUAGUGCUAGAGGUAAAUUGGCCACUAUUCUUUGUAUCAGAAAGAGACCAGAGUAUUUGAUUAAGUUAAACAGGAGCCAUUUCUUUGUUCUCGAGAAGAGAGAAAGCAGCAUUUCAACCAGACGGCCGAGACAGGGAACCCAGGAAAAAAAUCUAUUAAAGGGAUGACAAAAGAGAAAAACACUUAGACUAAUUCUGCCAAAAUUCAUAAAGCAUCCUGAGGGGUUUAUAAAGGCCGCGUUUGUCUCAGACACAUACAGACCACACCACAGCAGAGUAUUUAAGGUAGGUCCAAAGAACUGGAGAUUUCUCAGCAUUUUUAAAGUUCAAGGCCCAGUAAAGCCUCUGAAAUGAGCCAAACAACUAAAUGGACAAGGAGCAAUCAAACAGCACAGCUGCGUGGGUCUGAAAUUAAAUGUUACAAAGACAAAAGCAUUCCACCCCCAGAAACACAGAGUUUUUUCAAGGGGCACUGUAGAUAGACAGGGCAGCAGAUCUGAUGGAUGUUUGAUCUGUUUCACCCAGAACAGGCGGCUCUCAACUGCAACAAAGGGGCCAGCGCUGGCAGAGCUGUAAAUAAGAGGGUAAAAAUCUGAGAUCUCUUCAGAUCAGUCACAUCUCAUCAGUACCCUUCUGCCUCCACAAUCUAUAAUAUUUACCAGUCAGAUGGUAAAAUAAAGCAAAACCCUGAGUGCACCUAUAUUCACUUCAAUCGCUGCUCGCCCUAAAGCAAAAACAGUUCUAACCAUCCACUCUCAUUUAUUCUUCACAAUUUGUUAUAUGCUGAAACAAUCAGCUGUAUUUUAAAAAAGCCUAAUUCUGCUGUUUCUGAUGAAUUCAUACAGAGCAUAUUUUACAGCCAUCUGUAUACUGAACGUGUUUGGUGCAAACACCUCGCUCUUACUGGGACAAAACCGGAGUAGGUGGUGAUUUGAGAGCAAAAUAUAGCCCACUAGCUUCCAUAUUUAGGCUAAAUGCAAAGAUUUAUUAGUCCUCUAGGUAAACAUUGACCUUGGCUUCACCUUGGUCAAUAUUUACUUCUCAGGUUAAUAAAUCUUUAUAUUAACUGCAAUUGAAGUCACUCUCUGCUUAAGAGAUAAAGACCAAACAGGACCUCAUAUGAAGACAGCAUUCAUCAGAUAAACUCUGCAGCUUGAUUUAUCUUCUUGCCCACUUGUCUUAAAAAAUGCUAAUCCACGGAUACUGCAAGAUGUUUCUCUCUGCAAGGGGGGGGAUUUUUAACCGGUCGUUCUGUGCACUUCACUUGCAUUUUAAAGUCAUGGCACAUGUUUGUUUCUCUUGGGCUCAGGAAUGGUGAAUGUUUCCAGGGUAUCCCUCGAAAAUUUAUCUUCAUGUAGUCUAUUUAGCUAUGGGCAAAACAUGCAGACUGCUUUACCAGUGACCACCCCUCUCAACCCCAGAGCUGGUCACUACUCAGUUGUUUGGAACACAUCGUUAUUUUGGAAAAAAAGGUGCUCGUUGGGGAUGGUGAGAACGACCCUGCAAUCAAACAGCAAUAAUAAAUGAACCAACUAACAGGUGGUGACCUCGAAAACCAGGAAGCAUUGAACUUAUCAGAAGAGAAAAGACAUCAAAGACAAAGACCCAACUACCAGGAAUGGGGAUCUCCAUUCCUGCACAGGAAAGUGCCACGAGAAGCUGCUGGAGAAGGAAAAGAUGAAGUUAUAAUUAAAGAUUUCCUUGAUAUUAACAGCGAAAAGGGAAAUCAGAAAAGAACAGCUCUGUACAUCUCUUUGUGCAAUUUCAAACACCACUGCACUGAUGAAAAUCCCACUGCGCUGUUUUCUCCACAUUUAAGAUGUACUUAAAAUACAACCAACCAACGUACGUUUUGUCCAGGGGUCUAUCUGGCUGAAUCCAGACUAGAUCGUACCUCAUUUCACUUUCAAAUGGAUUCUGUGCGGUAGGAAGGAUUUCUGCUUAACUGUUGUCCAAAAACAGAGGGCUUGUAGAGAGAGAAUUGCUCAGAUUACAGAGAAAUUAAAAAUGGAGCUUCCUGAGGAACAGAAUCAAAGCAGCAUUAACCUCAGAACCCAAACAGCCAAGCUGUUCCACUAAAAAAAAAAAAAAAAACAAAACAUAUUUAAGAUCCCACUUAAAUAAACAUCAACCGCUUUACUCAUACGAGAUUCCCUUUGAAGUCAAUGGGAUUAGCCAUGGAUAAAAUUCAGCCUAAAUUCUGUGCGGAAAGACAGGUACAAAGUCCGCGAAUCAUUUAAAUCCCACACAUUCUCAGCAUUAGGCUUAAGAGCUGCACAAGUCUCUCGUUCAGUCCUCAGCACCGCAGUGCUCAUCAGCUGCAGAUCCGGGGCAGGAUGUGUCCUGUGACACACGCACGGACGCGUCCUGCGUUCCUCCCCUGCUCCGAGCUGUGCGUUCCGGGUCCUAUCGGCUUCUCCACGCGGUGCUGACGAGUUUACAAUCAAGUCUCGACGCCUUUCUGCAGGCAGCGCGGGGAAAUGUCACGCAAACUCCAUUAAUAAAUCAUUCCACAGGCAUAAACUACCGGAAUGGCACAGCCAGCUCUUCUCGCAAGGCGGGAUAUUUUCAUGGUUACGCGUGCGAGAACGGCUGGGCAAAAUCUAUACAAAUACACAGAACCCCAAUCCAAACCCCAACCCAAGCGAUCCGCACACCUUUCUUUUUCCUUUUCUUUUUGCCCUUCGCUCGAAGCAGCCGCUUACCCGGCGUGCGGAGGGCUGAGCGCUGCACAGAGCCGCCGUUGGCUGCCGAGCGCUACCGCUGCCUCUGUGCGAGUGGCGGAGCUCCGCGCUCCCUCAUUUCUGGUCCAUGGAAAUAAAACACACGCAGGGUUCCAACGCGACUCAAAACAUCAGCCAAGAUUUUCAGAGAAUUCUUUAAAGGAGAAACGUAAUAUAUAUAUAUUUUUUCUUUUAAUUUAGUGGCACGUGAAUCCCGGGGCGAGAAUUAACCCGUCUCUCUUUGAAGCCCGUACUGCGGGUAAACGGGAGUCUGAGAGAGGGAAGAGCGAACAAAUCGCGGUGCUGACUGCCGAUAUUCUGCUGCAUUGGCGGCUGUUGCCUGAGAGAGCCGGGAGCAGCGCGGUGCCGGGGCGCGCAAACACAGCGGUGCCGCACCUGCA